This 254-nucleotide ribosomal RNA is filed under the name uncultured bacterium. RNAcentral describes it as "partial 16S ribosomal RNA". It matches the Rfam family "Bacterial small subunit ribosomal RNA", at positions 524 to 777 of the family's 1533-position model. The record is from RNAcentral.
UACGUAGGUGACAAGCGUUGUCCGGAUUUACUGGGCGUAAAGAGCGCGCAGGCGGUCGUUCAAGUCGAGUGUGAAAGCCCCCGGCUCAACUGGGGAGGGUCACGCGAUACUGAUCGACUCGAAGGCAGGAGAGGGUAGUGGAAUUCCCGGUGUAGUGGUGAAAUGCGUAGAUAUCGGGAGGAACACCAGUGGCGAAGGCGACUACCUGGCCUGUUCUUGACGCUGAGGCGCGAAAGCUAGGGGAGCAAAGCGGG